Non-coding RNA from Nothobranchius furzeri (turquoise killifish), 743 nucleotides. The record is from RefSeq and is a predicted model, not a curated record. NCBI's taxonomy places the organism in Eukaryota, Metazoa, Chordata, Actinopteri, Cyprinodontiformes, Nothobranchiidae.
ACCAUAGACUGUACAUAUACUGGACAAUUCGAUUCCAUAGGCUUCAAUAACACGUUAUCUGUCCAUAAUGGGAGGUGUCCACCACCGCCAUUUUGACCGUGUCACAGGUUCCGUCCAGCCCAGACAAUUCCAUAAAAGGGAAGAGAGGAGGCGCUGAGGGUGGGGCUGUAAGGCUGGGCUCGAGUGACGACACCCAGGCGAACUAGCUACGAGCUAACCUGAAGCUAACCCUGGCUAACCCAAAGCUAAAGCGGAGGUGGGAGCCGAGCUAACGGAUGUAGCCACCUAGCUUCAACCCAACCGGAGCUAACUGGAACACCCAUCGACCUGAACCUCACACUGAGUUUAGGUGGAGGUUUUCUGCGCCUGUUCGUGAGAAGUACCUGUAUUAAAAAAGUUUUAAAUCGAUCUGUUUAAAUGUCACCAUGGCAGCCUGUGUGUCUCCAACAUCAGCUAUGCAAAGCAGCAAGUGUAAGUUCCACAUACCUGUCUCACCACUUCAUGUAUGGUUUUGUACUUUAAACAAUUAUGACAAACCUGUUAUUUUUUCUCCAUAGCCAUUUGGAUAAUUGGAGACAGCUACGUGAGGCGUGGUGCCCAGAGAGCUGCAGAGACAACCUUGGCCUCCCUGACGUCUGUGUCUCCUGGUUCGGUUGGGGUGGACCAUCGACAUACAUACAUGUGCCGACACUUUGCGCCCUGUUUUAUAAAAUGUAGUGUUAAAAAUAAAUGUUUUUGCUCAA